RNAcentral lists this ribosomal RNA (2902 nucleotides) under Klebsiella pneumoniae. RNAcentral describes it as "23S ribosomal RNA". It matches the Rfam family "Bacterial large subunit ribosomal RNA". The record is from RNAcentral. Lineage: Bacteria; Pseudomonadati; Pseudomonadota; Gammaproteobacteria; Enterobacterales; Enterobacteriaceae.
GGUUAAGCGACUAAGCGUACACGGUGGAUGCCCUGGCAGUCAGAGGCGAUGAAGGACGUGCUAAUCUGCGAAAAGCGUCGGUAAGGUGAUAUGAACCGUUACAGCCGGCGAUGUCCGAAUGGGGAAACCCAGUGCAAUUCGUUGCACUAUCGUUAACUGAAUACAUAGGUUAACGAGGCGAACCGGGGGAACUGAAACAUCUAAGUACCCCGAGGAAAAGAAAUCAACCGAGAUUCCCCCAGUAGCGGCGAGCGAACGGGGAGCAGCCCAGAGUCUGAAUCAGCUUGUGUGUUAGUGGAACGGUCUGGAAAGUCCGACGGUACAGGGUGAUAGUCCCGUACACCAAAAUGCACAGGUUGUGAACUCGAAGAGUAGGGCGGGACACGUGGUAUCCUGUCUGAAUAUGGGGGGACCAUCCUCCAAGGCUAAAUACUCCUGACUGACCGAUAGUGAACCAGUACCGUGAGGGAAAGGCGAAAAGAACCCCGGCGAGGGGAGUGAAAAAGAACCUGAAACCGUGUACGUACAAGCAGUGGGAGCACCUUCGGGUGUGACUGCGUACCUUUUGUAUAAUGGGUCAGCGACUUAUAUUCUGUAGCAAGGUUAACCGUAUAGGGGAGCCGCAGGGAAACCGAGUCUUAACUGGGCGUUAAGUUGCAGGGUAUAGACCCGAAACCCGGUGAUCUAGCCAUGGGCAGGUUGAAGGUUGGGUAACACUAACUGGAGGACCGAACCGACUAAUGUUGAAAAAUUAGCGGAUGACUUGUGGCUGGGGGUGAAAGGCCAAUCAAACCGGGAGAUAGCUGGUUCUCCCCGAAAGCUAUUUAGGUAGCGCCUCGUGAAUUCAUCUUCGGGGGUAGAGCACUGUUUCGGCUAGGGGGUCAUCCCGACUUACCAACCCGAUGCAAACUACGAAUACCGAAGAAUGUUAUCACGGGAGACACACGGCGGGUGCUAACGUCCGUCGUGAAGAGGGAAACAACCCAGACCGCCAGCUAAGGUCCCAAAGUCAUGGUUAAGUGGGAAACGAUGUGGGAAGGCACAGACAGCCAGGAUGUUGGCUUAGAAGCAGCCAUCAUUUAAAGAAAGCGUAAUAGCUCACUGGUCGAGUCGGCCUGCGCGGAAGAUGUAACGGGGCUAAACCAUGCACCGAAGCUGCGGCAGCGACACUAUGUGUUGUUGGGUAGGGGAGCGUUCUGUAAGCCUGCGAAGGUGUGCUGUGAGGCAUGCUGGAGGUAUCAGAAGUGCGAAUGCUGACAUAAGUAACGAUAAAGCGGGUGAAAAGCCCGCUCGCCGGAAGACCAAGGGUUCCUGUCCAACGUUAAUCGGGGCAGGGUGAGUCGACCCCUAAGGCGAGGCCGAAAGGCGUAGUCGAUGGGAAACAGGUUAAUAUUCCUGUACUUGGUGUUACUGCGAAGGGGGGACGGAGAAGGCUAUGUUAGCCGGGCGACGGUUGUCCCGGUUUAAGCAUGUAGGCUGGUUAUCCAGGCAAAUCCGGAUAAUCAAGGCUGAGGUGUGAUGACGAGGCACUACGGUGCUGAAGUAACAAAUGCCCUGCUUCCAGGAAAAGCCUCUAAGCAUCAGGUAACAUCAAAUCGUACCCCAAACCGACACAGGUGGUCAGGUAGAGAAUACCAAGGCGCUUGAGAGAACUCGGGUGAAGGAACUAGGCAAAAUGGUGCCGUAACUUCGGGAGAAGGCACGCUGGUGUGUAGGUGAAGUCCCUGCGGAUGGAGCUGAGACCAGUCGAAGAUACCAGCUGGCUGCAACUGUUUAUUAAAAACACAGCACUGUGCAAACACGAAAGUGGACGUAUACGGUGUGACGCCUGCCCGGUGCCGGAAGGUUAAUUGAUGGGGUUAUCCGUAAGGAGAAGCUCUUGAUCGAAGCCCCGGUAAACGGCGGCCGUAACUAUAACGGUCCUAAGGUAGCGAAAUUCCUUGUCGGGUAAGUUCCGACCUGCACGAAUGGCGUAAUGAUGGCCAGGCUGUCUCCACCCGAGACUCAGUGAAAUUGAACUCGCUGUGAAGAUGCAGUGUACCCGCGGCAAGACGGAAAGACCCCGUGAACCUUUACUAUAGCUUGACACUGAACAUUGAGCCUUGAUGUGUAGGAUAGGUGGGAGGCUUUGAAGCGUGGACGCCAGUCUGCGUGGAGCCAACCUUGAAAUACCACCCUUUAAUGUUUGAUGUUCUAACGUUGGCCCCUGACCGGGGUUGCGGACAGUGUCUGGUGGGUAGUUUGACUGGGGCGGUCUCCUCCCAAAGCGUAACGGAGGAGCACGAAGGUUAGCUAAUCCUGGUCGGACAUCAGGAGGUUAGUGCAAUGGCAUAAGCUAGCUUGACUGCGAGCGUGACGGCGCGAGCAGGUGCGAAAGCAGGUCAUAGUGAUCCGGUGGUUCUGAAUGGAAGGGCCAUCGCUCAACGGAUAAAAGGUACUCCGGGGAUAACAGGCUGAUACCGCCCAAGAGUUCAUAUCGACGGCGGUGUUUGGCACCUCGAUGUCGGCUCAUCACAUCCUGGGGCUGAAGUAGGUCCCAAGGGUAUGGCUGUUCGCCAUUUAAAGUGGUACGCGAGCUGGGUUUAGAACGUCGUGAGACAGUUCGGUCCCUAUCUGCCGUGGGCGCUGGAGAAUUGAGGGGGGCUGCUCCUAGUACGAGAGGACCGGAGUGGACGCAUCACUGGUGUUCGGGUUGUCAUGCCAAUGGCACUGCCCGGUAGCUAAAUGCGGAAGAGAUAAGUGCUGAAAGCAUCUAAGCACGAAACUUGCCCCGAGAUGAGUUCUCCCUGAGACUUUAAGUCUCCUGAAGGAACGUUAAAGACGAUGACGUUGAUAGGCCGGGUGUGUAAGCGCAGCGAUGCGUUGAGCUAACCGGUACUAAUGAACCGUGAGGCUUAACCUU